RNAcentral lists this ribosomal RNA (497 nucleotides) under uncultured bacterium. RNAcentral's name for it is "partial 16S ribosomal RNA". It matches the Rfam family "Bacterial small subunit ribosomal RNA", at positions 28 to 507 of the family's 1533-position model. The record is from RNAcentral.
GGUGAACGCUGGCGGCGUGCCUAAUACAUGCAAGUCGAGCGAACGGACGAGAAGCUUGCUUCUCUGAUGUUAGCGGCUGACGGGUGAGUAACACGUGGAUCACCUACCUAUAAUACUUGGAUAACUUCGGGAAACCGGAUCUAAUACCGGAUAAUAUUUUGAACCGCAUGGUUCAAAAGUUAAAGACGGUCUUGCUGUCACUUAUAGAUGGAUCCGCGCUGCAUUAGCUAGUUGGUAAGGUAACGGCUUACCAAGGCAACGAUGCGUAGCCGACCUGAGAGGGUGAUCGGCCACACUGGAACUGAGACACGGUCCAGACUCCUACGGGAGGCAGCAGUAGGGAAUCUUCCGCAAUGGGCGAAAGCCUGACGGAGCAACGCCGCGUGAGUGAUGAAGGUCUUCGGAUCGUAAAACUCUGUUAUUAGGGAAGAACAUAUGUGUAAGUAACUGUGCACAUCUUGACGGUACCUAAUCAGAAAGCCACGGCUAACUACGUG